Mesocricetus auratus (golden hamster) is the source of this 354-nucleotide long non-coding RNA. RefSeq lists it as uncharacterized. Lineage: Eukaryota; Metazoa; Chordata; Mammalia; Rodentia; Cricetidae. The record is from RefSeq and is a predicted model, not a curated record. The transcript has 2 exons.
CCAAGCAGCAAUACAGGGAGAAAGAAGGUGGAGUUGAGGAGAUGCCAACCAACUGCUAAAGGAGAAAGAUGUCCAAGCAUCAUUGACACAAAGCGCUGAGCACACAGCGCACAGCAAACACUCAGCCAAUGCUCUUGAUUGGAACUGCCCAGACCGACAGUGAGCAUCCAUCUGCCGCUGGUCUCCUCUCUCCGGGUCUCUAACUUGCGGGAAACCUCAUCAGAAGGGGCAUCUGUAACUGAACAACUCUGAGCAGUACUUUUAAAUAUUUAAUGAAUUCCUGAGGCUCUUGGAAAGUAGAGUGAGAAAUGUCCUGUAAAAAAUCUAUUAGUGCUAAUAAAAUACUAGCUAACA